This is an RNA transcript of Condylostylus longicornis, 5914 nucleotides long. It is a transcript of the gene named bridge-like lipid transfer protein family member 3A, with no coding region annotated. The transcript is spliced from 21 exons. NCBI's taxonomy places the organism in Eukaryota, Metazoa, Arthropoda, Insecta, Diptera, Dolichopodidae. The record is from RefSeq and is a predicted model, not a curated record.
AUAGCAUAUUGAUAUUACGAACUUUUGAAAACAAAAAAUGUCGUGAAGAAAAAAAAACUAAAAAACAUUUGUUGAAACUAAUUUGUAUAGUGUUAUUAUAUUAUUCUGAUAGGAUAAUGGUUUCUAUAAUAAAAAAUCAGUUGCUGAAACAUUUAUCACGUUACACUAAAAAUUUGUCACCUGAUAAAAUAAAUUUAAGCACUUUUCGAGGUGAAGGUGACUUAUCGAAUUUGGAACUAGAUGAAGUUGUUUUAACCGAUUUGUUAGAACUACCAUCUUGGUUGCGUUUAACUUCAGCAUGGUGCAAUCACGUUUCUUUUAGGAUAAGUUGGACAAAAUUGAAAAGUGUUCCAAUAACUUUAGUAUUAGACGAAGUAAAAAUUGCCAUAGAAACAUGUGAACUAGGAACAAGAAGUAAUUCUAAUGCAACCACACCAACUGCAUCCGGUGGGAUGCAAGCUCUACAAACGCCACAAGGAAAAUACAGUUUUAUUCAUAAAGUCAUUGAUGGGAUAACGAUAAUAAUCAAUACGGUUAAUGUAAAAUUUGCUAGUCCUGCUUUUACAUCAUCAAUUGAGGUGGCAAGAAUAAGAGUAGAAUCAAAAACCCCAAAAUGGUCAACCGCUGAUUUGCGUUUGACAAGACUUAAAGAUGUGCAAAAAGGAAUUGUAUUGAUAUUUAAGGAAUUAUCAUGGCAAACUGUUAGAAUUGAAGCUAGUUCUACACAAGAUACUGGUUUAACCCCGUUACGUUUAUUAACUAAUAAUGCCACGUGCCGUAUUACAAUUCGAAAACGUUUAUCGGAUUGUAGUAUACUUGCAUCUUGUUUACUUUUAAUUUUGGAAGAUUUAUUAUGGGUACUCACCGACUCUCAGUUAAAAGCAGCAUUACAUUUUGUUGAUUCCCUGUCGGGUUUAAUAAAAUCUACUACUCAAACAACUCAAAAAACAAAAGCGCAAAAAAAAUUGGAAAAUUUACCUGAAUAUCAAGCACAAAUAGCACAAUCGCAGCAAGGCCCUGCUGUUGAUUUAAGUCAUCAAUCUCAAACUCAAAAAAUUUUCAAUAUGUUUGACAUACGUGAAACAAGUUAUCAUUUUUUUAGUAAACAUAUUGAUUUACAUUUGUGCGAUGAUGAAGGCGAUGGUCGGUCCAUGUAUCCCGACUUAAAGGAGGGUGGGGCGUUGCUUAUAUCAAUCAAAGAUUUUCAAACAGAUUAUUAUCCAUACCAUUUAGCAAAAGCAGAUCGUUCACGUUGGCAUAAAUAUAAGGAAGCUUCAAUACCACCAGCACUAUGGUUGGAACAAUCUUUGAAUGUUUUUCGUGAAUCUGUACUUAACUUGUGUCAGCCGAAUCGUCCAUUGAAUCAUGCUCCUUUAGAGCGUAGUGUUCCUGUAACACCAACUAGUAUAAUAUCACAUAAUGUCCAUCCAUUUGGUACUGAUAAUAAUAUUUGCACACCCAAUAUUUCGUCAGUUCCACAAUCAGGGCAAUCAACACCAAAAACAUUGCGGGGCAGAACAGGCAGUACCGCCAGUGGAGCUCAAAAUGACUCAACUAAUCGUACCGUUUCUAAUAACUUAGCAAAAUUAAUGAGUGCAUGCGUAAUACUGAGAAUCGGAGAUUUUGUUCUUUAUAGAGUAACAACAUCUGGGAAAAAACAAAUGCAAAAGGAAUUUGUUGCAGCUCAACAAAAAAGGAAACCUAAAUCAGGCGACAAAGAUCGGUAUUCCUUUCCACCAGAGAUGUCGCUCGUUCAUGCUGAAUUUACAUAUUUUUAUUAUCCAGGAGAUUUCAUUUUUCCAUUACCUCCGUCCAAAAUGUUUUGUUACAUUAAUCCAAUUCAAGUUCAUUUCGAUCUCUCUUCCGUUUUAUGGUUAAAUUCGUUUGCUUUAAAUUUACAUGAGAGUCUUUUAAAAGCAAGUGUUGGAAUGAGUAAUACAUCAACAGGAGAUUCAAUCGCAAAGAGUGCAAAUGAACCAGAUUUAAUGUAUAUGGAUAUUAAACUAGAAGCUAUAAUGCCAAGAAUAGUAAUAGAAUCCGCAAUAGAUGCACCGACACAACGUGAUAGACCAAAGAUAAUGCAAAUACAAGUUUCUCGAUUCGUCCUUACGAAUAUUAGAGAGACAGGUUCAUCACGAGCUGAUUUGGCACAAGCCUUAGAUUCGCUACAAGAAGGCAGUCUGGUGUUUGGUAGUGGAUUUCCUUCAGCAAAUGGUGAUUUAUGUAUUGUGACAGAUCGUAUAUUAUCUCAUGUUGCCGCAACUGAUGUACCAAAUAGUAAGUUUGCCCAACAAGAGCAUUGUAACGAACAGCACAGCGGUACUGAAACGAAUAUUGGGGAUUUACUAAGCUGUUUGUCAAGGUAUGUAGUGUGGUCUGAGCCACGUGAUGUUUGGUGUAUAAAAUUCGAUCCAGUAUGGAUCGACUUUUUGGGUGCUAAAUCAUUGGGUUCACACAAAGCAAUUCCGUUUGUUGAUGCAGUUCCUAUAACGCUGUGGGUGCAUGGUUCAUCUAAUAGCCAAGAUAUAGAAAAUAUUAAGAGAACUGUUAGUGAUUACCAUAUACCAUUACGGCGAGGGUCAGCUCAAUCAGUGAUAAAUACACAAUUAGAUUAUGAAAAUAGUAAUGUUUUAAUAUUACCUGAAUCACAAACCCAGUCAAAAAAUAUGACUCAUCCUCAAAAGUUUUCACAAUUUGAUUCAAAAAUUCAAGAGUCAUAUGCUUCAUAUAGCAAUAACAAAAUUCCUGAAUGUGCUGAUAUGCAUGCCAUAGCACAUGUUUCCAAUUUAGUUAGCAUACAAAUUGAUCAUUACCAAUUAUUAUUUUUAAUGCGUUUAGCUGAAGAGAUGACGGAACUAACAACUUUUUUGACUAUAGACGCAGAAAGAAUAUUGAAAAAGCAAAAUAUCAAAAAAUCAAUAAUAUUUGGUUGUGUUGUGCCUCAAGUUGAAAUAACGAUGGUAAUGCCGUCCCCAACACCGGGUAAGGAAUCAAGCGGUGGUGAUGCAGAAAGUGUUCUGCCAGAUUCAGCUAGUUUGGGUGAUGAUUUACACAUGAAUAUCACAAAUACAACGUGGCAACAAUCAUUUGACAAUGUUAAAAGUACAAAUCCAUUUGGAAGUGUUGACACCCCGUCUCCAGUUACGAACGAUCCACCUUUUGAUAGUAAUGGCACACAUAUACCAAAUCCAAAUCCAAGGGGACAUAACGUACAAAUACAAAAUGCAACCGCGAUAACUUCUUCAACAAUUAGUCAAAGCUCCCGCCAUGAUACUGGAAUAUUUUCGCAGUCAAUUCAAUCGCCUGUUACAGCAUCGUUUACAAAAGGUAGUAACAGUAACAGUAGUGUUGUUGCAACAAACAAAAAAGGUUCGAUAACGGAAUCAACAAUAAGAAGAGAAAUUGAAAAGAAAGUAAAAAGGGGAUUUAGUAAUUUUAUGACAUCAAUUGAUUCUGCAAUAAAAUCCGGAAGUAGCGUAAUUAGUGAUGAUAUAAGCGAUACAUUUUCAAUAUACAGCGAUGUUAGUUCUGAUUCAGAGAAUUUUGCAAUUGUUAUGGGAGACGAUAAAACAACGGACUGCAUAGAUGUUAUGUUUAGAUUAAACCCAUUUACAAAUGACAGUAAUGUCAGAGCAUCUCCUGUUGAAAUCGCUAGUGAAGUAUACGAAGAGUCAAACUACAAAACAAAUAUGAGCUCCCCAUCUGAACCGUCCGAAGGAAGUUGCUGGCGAAGGAGAGAUCUGGUUUCAAUGGCGACAUUUAGGCUAACAACAGUUGAACUAAUACGCCAAAAUGAAGGUUAUAAAUCGUCAUUUAAACUACAAGUUUCAGCAAUAAGUUGCGACGAAUGUGGAGCAAUACCUUGGGAUGAAUUACAGACUGUUCACCAAUCAACAAAGACAAAAUUUGGAGCACGUUGCCGAGCUUGGAAUUUAGCACCAUAUAACCCAGAAGCUCCACCUGUGAUUCAAUUACGAAUGGAAGAAGUUUUAGAGCCACCGGAAAAUAUAACAGAAAUCAAAGAUAAAAAAGUUAUUCAAAGAUGGUUUACUAGCCAUGCAGAUAUUAAAGUUAAAGAUUUGACAAUGGAUCUUUCAAUGAGCACUGUUACAGGCUUAGGUGAUCUGGUGGAAGAUGAAGUUAUUACACCUCCUCUGACGUUGAAUAUUAAUUUAGAGAAUGUUAGGCUAAAUUUAAUUGAAGAUAGGCCACCAGUUAAUAUUACAUCACCAGGUCCAGUUCCUAUUAAUUUAGCAAUUUCAAAGCUUUUCAUAACACGGGAUAGUAGUGGAUUAUUAAGAAUUGAACCAAAUGUAGUUAACAAUAUUGGAGCAGAUCAAAGCUCUACAAAUCGAGGAAAAGAUCUUGAACUAUUGUCUAUGCAAUUAGUAAUGCGUCAGUUAAAAUUAGACAAUGAAAUGUUAAGAAAAGAAUUAAUAUUGACAAGAGAACAUUCUGAAAGUGUUAGGCAGAAAAGUCGUCAAGAUACUGAAAUUCUUAACAAUGAUUUAAAAGCAGCCAAGGAUGAUAUUGCAAAGUUAACGGACGAAAAAAUUGCCCUGAUGAAUACAAUAAAAUCUUUACAGAUACUUUGCAUAAGAAAAGGGCAAAUUUUGGAAUUUGAAGCUUAAAUUAAAUUUCAACAAAAGUCUUUUAAAAAAUCGUUAAAACCAUCAUUGUCGGUAAGGUUUAAAUAAAAAAAAGCAUCCUUAAUUUCCAAAAAGAACCGAUUGUCAGCUUAUCAAGGUAAUGCUAAAAAACCAGAGGUGACUAGCAGAUAGCAUAACUGCAUGGACUGUAUUCAGUGUUGUGGUGAAAACAACAAUCCGUAGUUUUCAUAAUUUGUAUAAAUAUAAUUAAAAAUCCUUUAAUUUUUUUAAAUAUAAUAACUAUAUACUUUUUAAAUGUAUACUUUUGUGUAUAAUAAAAACAAAACAAAAUAUUUCCAUAAAUAAAUUAUAAAAAUCCCAAAAAUAUAUAAAAUAUAAUCAUAACAAAAUAUAUAUAUAUAUAUAGUUAGAAUUAAAGAAUUUUAAAUUUUGAAAAAACUUGCAAAAUAAAAUUAACAAAUUAUGUUAUUAUUAUAUGUACAUAAUAUACAUAUUGUGUAAGUAAAUCUAAUAUGUAUAUAAUAAAGGUUUACGUACAUAAUAUAAAUUUGCUAUAAGAAGCCAAAUAGAACAAAUUUUAUUUUUAAAAUGAAAAUGAUUCAAUUUUAACAAAAAUGUAAAAAUUUCAAUUUAUUGCUGGUAAAAUUGUAUAUUAAAUGAAAGAAAAAAUUGCGAAUAGCGCUUUCAUUUUAAACAGUUUAAAUUUUAGCAGUGCGAUGUUUUUUUCGAUGAUUUAAUAAUAUUUCAAGUCAGCACAAAAUUUCAAAAAGUUUACGUUUCUUUUAAAAACAAAGAAUAUCAAUGAAAAAUUUGUAUUCCUUCUCCAGGAUAUCAGACAUAAUAUCUGUUUUUGUAUUGGUUUCAUUCUGUAGGUUCAUUAUUUAAACGAAUUUGUCAAAGAAACUUUUUUUUUUUAAAUUAUUGGGUUAACAUAAAAUAAUUACUUUUCUAUACACAUUAAUUAAAAAAUAUAUUUAUUACCAAAUUAUAAAUGUGACUUAAGAAUUUUUGUGCACAAGUUUUAAAAAUUUUUUAGUAACGAUAAAUGAUAAAUAUUGGUACCGUAAAACAAAAAACUUUUUUAUAUAUACUGGAAAAAAUUAUUUUUACAAAUAAAAAUGUUAUUCCACUGACUAUAAAAAUAAAUUUUCAACAAACAAGAUAGUUUAGAAAAAUAGGUAGAUUAACAAACUCAACUCAUUACAUAAUUUUUUAAAAAAAUCUUUGUAUAUAUAAAUAAAAUAUACAUAUAAAGAAAUAAAAUAUAUAUAUAUAAAUAUAUAUAUCUAUAUAUAAAUAUAUAU